This 403-nucleotide unclassified non-coding RNA is filed under the name soil metagenome. RNAcentral describes it as "partial contains 5.8S ribosomal RNA, internal transcribed spacer 2, and large subunit ribosomal RNA". The stretch from base 1 to 120 matches the Rfam family "5.8S ribosomal RNA", at positions 35 to 154 of the family's 154-position model. The record is from RNAcentral.
GAUGAAGAACGUAGCGAAAUGCGAUAAGUAAUGUGAAUUGCAGAAUUCAGUGAAUCAUCGAAUCUUUGAACGCACCUUGCGCCCUUUGGACUUCUGAAGGGCAAGCCUGUUUGAGUAUCAUGAACACCUCAACUCCUUAUGGUCUUCCAUGAUGAGCUUGGACUUUGGGGGUUUUGCUGGCCUACAGUCAGCUCCUCUAAAAUAAAUCAGCUUACCGGUGUUUGGUGGGUAUCAUGGGUGUGAUAACUAUCUACGCUCGUGGUUUUCCACCAGGUAACCUUCAGCAGUGGAGGUUCACUGGAGCUCAUAGAUGUCUCUCCUCAGCGAGGACAGCCCUUUGAAUGUUUGAUCUCAAAUCAGGUAGGACUACCCGCUGAACUUAAGCAUAUCAAUAAGCGGAGGA